RNAcentral lists this ribosomal RNA (640 nucleotides) under uncultured Lachnospiraceae bacterium. Its description in RNAcentral is "bacterial SSU rRNA". It matches the Rfam family "Bacterial small subunit ribosomal RNA", at positions 66 to 719 of the family's 1533-position model. The record is from RNAcentral. Lineage: Bacteria; Bacillati; Bacillota; Clostridia; Lachnospirales; Lachnospiraceae.
ACGAGAGAUGAGGAGCUUGCUCUUCAAAUCGAGUGGCGAACGGGUGAGUAACGCGUGAGGAACCUGCCUCAAAGAGGGGGACAACAGUUGGAAACGACUGCUAAUACCGCAUAAGCCCACGGCUCGGCGUCGAGCAGAGGGAAAAGGAGUGAUCCGCUUUGAGAUGGCCUCGCGUCCGAUUAGCUAGUUGGUGAGGUAAUGGCCCACCAAGGCGACGAUCGGUAGCCGGACUGAGAGGUUGAACGGCCACAUUGGGACUGAGACACGGCCCAGACUCCUACGGGAGGCAGCAGUGGGGAAUAUUGCACAAUGGGGGAAACCCUGAUGCAGCGACGCCGCGUGGAGGAAGAAGGUCUUCGGAUUGUAAACUCCUGUUGUUGAGGAAGAUAAUGACGGUACUCAACAAGGAAGUGACGGCUAACUACGUGCCAGCAGCCGCGGUAAAACGUAGGUCACAAGCGUUGUCCGGAAUUACUGGGUGUAAAGGGAGCGCAGGCGGGAGAACAAGUUGGAAGUGAAAUCCAUGGGCUCAACCCAUGAACUGCUUUCAAAACUGUUUUUCUUGAGUAGUGCAGAGGUAGGCGGAAUUCCCGGUGUAGCGGUGGAAUGCGUAGAUAUCGGGAGGAACACCAGUGGCGAA